Molecule: ribosomal RNA, 254 nt
Filed under: uncultured bacterium
Lineage: Bacteria
Description: partial 16S ribosomal RNA
Rfam family: Bacterial small subunit ribosomal RNA
Source: RNAcentral
UACGAAGGGGGCUAGCGUUGCUCGGAAUCACUGGGCGUAAAGGGUGCGUAGGCGGGUCUUUAAGUCAGGGGUGAAAUCCUGGAGCUCAACUCCAGAACUGCCUUUGAUACUGAGGAUCUUGAGUUCGGGAGAGUGAGUGGAACUGCGAGUGUAGAGGUGAAAUUCGUAGAUAUUCGCAAGAACACCAGUGGCGAAGGCGGCUCACUGGCCCGAUACUGACGCUGAGGCACGAAAAGCGUGGGGAGCAAACAGGG